GAUGAACGCUGGCGGCGUGCCUAAUACAUGCAAGUCGAGCGAACAGACGAGGAGCUUGCUCCUCUCACGUUAGCGGCGGACGGGUGAGUAACACGUGGAUAACCUACCUAUAAGACUGGGAUAACUUCGGGAAACCGGAGCUAAUACCGGAUAAUAUAUUGAACCGCAUGGUUCAAUAGUGAAAGACGGUUUUGCUGUCACUUAUAGGUGGAUCCGCGCCUGAUUAGCUAGUUGGGAAGUUAACUGCUUACGAAGGCAACGAUGCGUAGACGAACUGAGAGGGUGAUCGGCCACACUGGAACGGGGCCACGGUCCAGGCUCCUACGGGAGGGAGCAGUAGGGAAUCUUCCGCAAUGGGGGAAAGCAUGACGGAGCAACGCCGCGUGAGUUAUGACGGUCUUCGGAUCGUAAAACUCUGUUAUUAGGGAAGAACAAAUGUGUAAGUAACUAUGCACGUCUUGACGGUACCUAAUCAGAAAGCAACGGCUAACUACGUG
This 497-nucleotide ribosomal RNA is filed under the name uncultured bacterium. Its description in RNAcentral is "partial 16S ribosomal RNA". It matches the Rfam family "Bacterial small subunit ribosomal RNA", at positions 28 to 507 of the family's 1533-position model. The record is from RNAcentral.